RNAcentral lists this ribosomal RNA (348 nucleotides) under uncultured bacterium. RNAcentral's name for it is "bacterial SSU rRNA". It matches the Rfam family "Bacterial small subunit ribosomal RNA", at positions 445 to 793 of the family's 1533-position model. The record is from RNAcentral.
UGGAUAUGUUAAUAGCAUAUUCAUUUGACGUUAGCUGCAGAAGAAGCACCGGCUAACUCCGUGCCAGCAGCCGCGGUAAUACGGAGGGUGCGAGCGUUAAUCGGAAUUACUGGGCGUAAAGCGCAUGCAGGUGGUUUGUUAAGUCAGAUGUGAAAGCCCGGGGCUCAACCUCGGAAUUGCAUUUGAAACUGGCAAACUAGAGUACUGUAGAGGGGGUAGAAUUUCAGGUGUAGCGGUGAAAUGCGUAGAGAUCUGAAGGAAUACCGGUGGCGAAGGCGGCCCCCUGGACAGAUACUGACACUCAGAUGCGAAAGCGUGGGGAGCAAACAGGAUUAGAUACCCUGAUAG